This 209-nucleotide unclassified non-coding RNA is filed under the name plant metagenome. RNAcentral describes it as "partial contains small subunit ribosomal RNA, internal transcribed spacer 1, and 5.8S ribosomal RNA". The record is from RNAcentral.
UCUCCGUUGGUGAACCAGCGGAGGGAUCAUCACUGGAAUCGCAAGAUCCCACAACCCUGUGAACCUACCUAAACGUUUCCUCGGCGGGUGCCUGGCCCCCGCCCCGGGCGCUGCGCCCGCCGGCGGCCCCCUACUCUGUCUCUGGAGCGUGGCAUCUCAGCGUCCCCGAAAACAAGUCAAAACUUUCAACAACGGAUCUCUUGGCUCUA